Molecule: long non-coding RNA, 2607 nt
Filed under: Cavia porcellus (domestic guinea pig)
Lineage: Eukaryota; Metazoa; Chordata; Mammalia; Rodentia; Caviidae
Description: lncRNA (ENSCPOG00000035279.1)
Source: RNAcentral
GAGCUUGGCGUAUUUUACGAACUGGGGAAGUAGCAGCAGCAGAAGUCCAGAAACGGGGAGAAAUCGAAGAAAGUGGAGGCGACCAUAAAGGGUUCUCGGGACGGUGCGGCACAGGGAUUCUGCAGGAAAUGAGGGCUGCGGGAUCUCAGAGGGAAGAGAGCAAUCAGAGGUGCCAGGCGAAAGAGCAAGAUCGAGUCACCAUGACCACCAUCCAAGCCACGAAGGAUCCCCUCCUCCGGGAUCCUACACCCAGCAAGAUCCCAGUACGCUCUCGGAGACGCCCGCCUUUCCUCACAGUCAAACCGAGCGCCCAGGACCAGGAGAACCAAGAUCCAAGGACUCUGAUGGAGAAGUCUCAGCUCAGUAUUCAACGUAACUUUGUUGACUCAGCAGGCCCCAGUUCGAAAGCCACACACCAAACAGAGAAAUCACAAAGGUCGAUGGCGAUCACUCAGCUUCGGAACCCCCUGGAGGAGCUCAGGCCUAGCCCUGGGGAACAAAAUUCGGGGCUUGGGCCCCCUCCACAAACAGAAGCUCCAGGGCCUAUAGAAUUUGUGGCUGACCCUGUAGCCCUGGCUACCAUCCUAUCAGGUGAGGGGGUGAAGAGCUGUCCAAUGGGGCGUCAGUCCAGCCUGGCUCAGAGAGUACUGGUUCGAGAGAGCCAGGGAGGUACCAUCCGGCGGGGCCAGGUUUCUCGGGCCUCUGCAUACUUGGCCCCCAGGACCCCCAUGCACCAACUAGGCCCUGCCAGGGCUUCCUGCUUUUCAAGGCUGGAGGGAUCUGGACCCCGGGGUUUGACUUUGUGUCCCCAGAGGCUGAAGGCUCUGGCUCUACCUUCAGGAUCUUUUCAUGCCUCUACUCGCCCUCAUUUACAGGAGCUCAGAAGAGAGACAAGUGGCAAGAACUGGACUUCAGUGAGCCAGGUCUCAGGAUUGCUCCUGGAAACCCCUGCGCAGCCUGCUUCUCUCUCUGAAGAACAUGAAAGGAUACCUCAUUCAGAUGAAGGAGGAGGAGCUCUCCUAGGUCUGGCCCAGCGAGUACCUUUAAGAGAGACAGCACACCCUAGGGAUGGCCUGAUGGCCUCCUCUGCUCCUUUGGCCCAGUCCAUGCCUGGCCGUGUGGUACCGCCUUCUGUCACCCAUCCGUCACCCUUUGGACGGGCUCAGCGUGUACCCUCGCCUGGCAUCCCUGCUCUGGUUUGUAUUGAAAACUUGGGGGGUGAGCAGGAACAGAACAAUCUGGCCAGAGAACCCUGUUGGCCUGGGUGUUUUUCCUGCUCAGCCAUCCGCCUACCUCCCCAGACUUCAUUUUCAUUAUUGCAGCGUCUCGCCAUUCGACCCAAAACCCAGUUCACUCCAUCCACCCCCAGAGUUCAGCAGGCCCAAUGGUUGAGUGACCUCACCCCUCAGUCCUGUCCUGAAGAGCUUGCUCUGCCUUGGGAGCAGAUUGCUGUACGGUUGUUUGACCAGGACAGUGGUGUAAGGUUGCAGGAACAGUCUGGGAAACCAGCCGUGGCAAGUCCUGGAUCACACCCGAAUGGAGCCCUCAACUUCCAGGAGCUAAAAAUGCAGCGCAUCAGUAUCCUGCAGCAGUUAUUGCGUCAGGAGGUAGAAGGGCUGGCAGUGGACAAGUAUGCCCACCUUAAUGGAAGCUGCUCUCUGGAUAUGGCUGAACUUCAGCCCCUGCUGGCUGAGAUUUCUAGGACCCUGAAUGCCCCAAAGCAUAACUCUGGAACAUCCCACCUUCCUGAACUGUCACAACACUCCAAGCUGCCAGAGCCCUGCCCUUCAGAGGAGUGUGGGGAAGCACAGCCCUGCUCUGGGGUGACAGAACCAGAGCCAGACGUGAUACAACCCUGCCCACCAAUGGAGCCAGGGCCUCCAGAGUCUUGCUCUGAGGUUAGGCCAGAGACACCAGAGUCCCCUUCCCAGAAGCAGCCUGAGAAAGCAGAGCCCUGCCCACCAGUAGAGCCUGGACCCCUUCAGCCUAGCCCCCAGGGACAGACUGUGUCCGAAGAGGCCUGUCCUACUGUAGGGUUGGGGACUUGCUGCCUGGAACCAAAAUGCCUAGAGGCCAGUCCAUGGCGCUGCUGCAGUCAGAGGGCUGCAGCAACCACCAGCCUGACCUUCUCUUCCCAACGCCCCCUUUGUGCUAGCCCCCCUAUCUGCUCACUGCAGUCUACAAGGCCCCUGACAGGCCAGGCAGGUCCUAGCAGUCUGGCCCCUCAAACACUGGCCCUGAGGCAGCGCCUCAAAGCAUGUCUCACUGCUAUCCACUGCUCCCAUGAGGCUCGACUGGACGAUGAGUGUGCCUUUUACACUAGCCGAGUCCCUUCCCCAGGCCCAACUCGGGUCUGUACCAACCCUGUGGCCACACUGCUUGAAUGGCAGGACGCCCUGUGUUUCAUUCCGGUUGGUUCUGCAGCUUCUCAGAGCUCUCCAUCCUGAGGCUUCCACCUCCAACCACUUCCACCCUUCCCAGAUCACCCCUUCCCUUUAGUCCUUAUUUAUUUGGUGUUCCCAUGGAACUGGGGCCCAACAUUCUUUUAUUAACUUUAAUAAAGUUUCUAUAGUCUUUGAAUAGCCAGCUAGUGAGUCUAAAGCAUCC